This 136-nucleotide ribosomal RNA is filed under the name uncultured bacterium. RNAcentral describes it as "partial 16S rRNA". It matches the Rfam family "Bacterial small subunit ribosomal RNA", at positions 355 to 507 of the family's 1533-position model. The record is from RNAcentral.
UGAGGAAUAUUGCACAAUGGGCGAAAGCCUGAUGCAGCAACGCCGCGUGAGCGAUGAAGGCCUUCGGGUCGUAAAGCUCUUUUGAGAGGGACGAGAUAGGACGGUACCUCUUGAAUAAGUCACGGCUAACUACGUG